RNAcentral lists this non-coding RNA (27 nucleotides) under Rattus norvegicus (Norway rat). Lineage: Eukaryota; Metazoa; Chordata; Mammalia; Rodentia; Muridae. The record is from RNAcentral.
UAAACUGCCAACUUUCAAGCUCCUCCA